This is a long non-coding RNA of Triticum aestivum (bread wheat), 1909 nucleotides long. RefSeq lists it as uncharacterized. The record is from RefSeq and is a predicted model, not a curated record. The transcript is spliced from 3 exons. NCBI's taxonomy places the organism in Eukaryota, Viridiplantae, Streptophyta, Magnoliopsida, Poales, Poaceae.
GAAAAACAAUACGUAUAGGACACAGGAGCACGGGCUCCUCAAUGUGUACGGUAGCGCCGCCGCGCGCCCGUUCCUCUCUGGCGCCGCCGCCGCCGCCGCCCUGCUCUCGUUCCCCUCCCUAUCCAUCUCAAUCUUCUCCGGUGCCACCACGAUCUUCAACCUCCUGCCGCCGUAUGUCUCCGAUUUGGAUCGGAGUCCGUGUUCCCCCAGGAUAAGUGCUGCAACACAAAUCCAUGGCGUGCCCGACCCAGAUUUGAGAGUGACUUGGCUGCCAUUAGAAGGAGCCCUCGACCGGAAUCUCCAUUAAAUCGCAUCAUAUCGCAACUUUUGAAGAGUCGUCCAGGAUCGUCUCAGCCGAGUUCGCCAGAAGAAAAUCCGCCGCCCAAGCGUACUACACGUGAGCCCGAAGAACAUCCCCUGCCGAACAUGCUACCCCAGAGAUCACAUCUUCCUUUGCUAGAACACGUGAGCUGAUUCCAACUUUGGCCUCAAGUUGCUCCCGUCGAUGACAAGUGGUUAGUUUUAUGGGGUUCACAAUUGACUUUUUCAACUAUAAUACAAUAGUCAGUGCAUGAGACAGAGAUAACUCAUGUUGGAUCGACACCUCCAUAUCAGAGAUAACGUUUUUAAUGGAGGAUAAUUCAUAUUCAGUUCUCCUCUCAAUUUUGGUGUUGCCAAGCUUGAUCUUUAUCCAUCUAACUGACUGAAAGUGCCUUCUAAUCACUAUUGAACGCAUAUGUUAGUUAGUUUGACUGUAUACACCACACAAAAAGUAAAAAAAUUCUCGAGAAACAAAAGGCACACCUAUAGGAUUUUUUUUCUUAACAAAAUGUAUUAAUUUGACUAUUUGAGUAUAAAAAAUGUGCAAUCGCAAUCUUGCUUUUUUCAAGGAAAACAGGGGACUGCUACGUACUCGAUAUGGAUCGAGGCUAAUUAUUGAUCUCCCAAGUUAAAAAUAUGAAAAUAACUUUCAUUUAGUAAUGGAUAUAUAGUCAAGAAAGGAUGCCUUUCCCUAAAGAUACAAAGCAAAAUCAUGUUCGUGUAUGUCCGGCUGACAGAUGAAUCGAUCUCCUUUCAAGUAUCAACCCAACAACCUUCGUGUACGGGUCCAUUGGCCUGCGUAGCACACAUCCCUUCACUAAUUCCAUCAGUAUCAUUCUUAACAAGGUAAGUAUGAUUCCCUAAUCACUGAUUUUAUUAAUUGAUCUUUGAUCCUUCAUCCCUAAUGUCGUUAUACCUUAUUGAUUCUAUAAAAGAUCUCAAACAGGAACAUACCAUUAUUGAGGCUACAAUUCCUAUAACUUGCCUUGUCAAUUUGAUAAAAUUACAUGUGUGAUGGAGGUUGUAACUUAUUACGGUUUACAUUGUCAGAAUGAUAUCUGUGUCAUCUCUAAACAUAUGUAUAUAUUUGGUGUGCUGGAUUUUCUGAUGUAGAUGCUAUAUAAGAGGAAGCUAUUCGACAAUCCUGCUCAAGUUGGUACGGAUCAGACCGAUUUUAUUCAGUAAUAUGCUUGAUAGAUACAAGCCUCCCUCUUCUGCCCUUCUUUUCUCCAUCCUCUACAGGUCACCAACACAUGUGAAUCGUUCUCGUCAAGAGCAUGCUUGUGACAUCAUUACUAUAUGUGAUGCACGGCAAAAGGAUGUUGUCAGAAUCUAAGUGUUCAAGUACAAUCUCUAGCCAAGUUCUCUUUGUUGUUGUGUUGAAUUUUGAGGAAAGGCGGCCAAGCAGCUCGUGGCAUCUAUGUCACGCCUGCUCUGCCGCUGCCUUGACCCGCCGACGACGUCGCCGGUUGAGCCGCAAGGUUGCAAGAUCAUCGUGGGGCCCAUUGCAUGGGCUCCGAGUAUGCUUGAUUGCCAUGUCGGAGGCGAAGGUGCUAGAGCUUGGUGGCAUGUUUGCAUUUGUGGAUGC